UCAUCGGUGGUUCAGAGGUAGAAUUCUCACAUUCCACGUGGGAAACCUGGGUUCAAUCCCCGGCCAAUGCU
This 71-nucleotide transfer RNA is filed under the name Loxodonta africana (African savanna elephant). It matches the Rfam family "tRNA". From Rfam's summary of the family: Transfer RNA (tRNA) molecules are approximately 80 nucleotides in length. Their secondary structure includes four short double-helical elements and three loops (D, anti-codon, and T loops). Further hydrogen bonds mediate the characteristic L-shaped molecular structure. tRNAs have two regions of fundamental functional importance: the anti-codon, which is responsible for specific mRNA codon recognition, and the 3' end, to which the tRNAs corresponding amino acid is attached (by aminoacyl-tRNA synthetases). tRNAs cope with the degeneracy of the genetic code in two manners: having more than one tRNA (with a specific anti-codon) for a particular amino acid; and 'wobble' base-pairing, i.e. permitting non-standard base-pairing at the 3rd anti-codon position. Lineage: Eukaryota; Metazoa; Chordata; Mammalia; Proboscidea; Elephantidae. The record is from Rfam by way of RNAcentral.